GACGAACGCUGGCGGCGUGCCUAAUACAUGCAAGUAGAACGCUGAAGGAGGAGCUUGCUUCUCCGGAUGAGUUGCGAACGGGUGAGUAACGCGUAGGUAACCUGCCUGGUAGCGGGGGAUAACUAUUGGAAACGAUAGCUAAUACCGCAUAAGAGUAGAUGUCGCAUGACAUUUGCUUAAAAGGUGCAACUGCACCACUACCAGAUGGACCUGCGUUGUAUUAGCUAGUUGGUGAGGUAACGGCUCACCAAGGCAACGAUACAUAGCCGACCUGAGAGGGGGAUCCGCCACACUGGGACUGGGACACGGCCCAGACUCCUACGGGAGGCAGCAGUAGGGAAUCUUCGGCAAUGGACGGAAGUCUGACCGAGCAACGCCGCGUGAGUGAAGAAGGUUUUCGGAUCGGAAAACUCUGUUGUAAGAGAAGAACGAGUGUGAGAGUGGAAAGUUCACACUGUGACGGUAUCUUACCAGAAAGGGACGGCUAACUACGUG
This 495-nucleotide ribosomal RNA is filed under the name uncultured bacterium. Its description in RNAcentral is "partial 16S ribosomal RNA". It matches the Rfam family "Bacterial small subunit ribosomal RNA", at positions 28 to 507 of the family's 1533-position model. The record is from RNAcentral.